RNAcentral lists this ribosomal RNA (232 nucleotides) under uncultured bacterium. RNAcentral's name for it is "partial 16S ribosomal RNA". It matches the Rfam family "Bacterial small subunit ribosomal RNA", at positions 545 to 776 of the family's 1533-position model. The record is from RNAcentral.
UCGGAAUCAUUGGGCGUAAAGCGCACGUAGGCGGUCUGUUAUGUCGGAUGUGAAAGCCCUUGGCUUAACUGAGGAAGUGCAUCCGAAACUGGCAGGCUAGAGUACUAAAGAGGGUCGCGGAAUUCCCGGUGUAGAGGUGAAAUUCGUAGAUAUCGGGAGGAACACCGGUGGCGAAGGCGGCGACCUGGGUAGAUACUGACGCUGAGGUGCGAAAGCGUGGGGAGCAAACAGG